CCUACGGGAGGCAGCAGUAAGGAAUAUUGGUCAAUGGACGCAAGUCUGAACCAGCCAUGCCGCGUGAAGGAUUAAGGUCCUCUGGAUUGUAAACUUCUUUUAUUUGGGACGAAAAAGGGUCUUUCUAGACCAACUGACGGUACCAGAUGAAUAAGCACCGGCUAACUCCGUGCCAGCAGCCGCGGUAAUACGGAGGGUGCAAGCGUUAUCCGGAUUCACUGGGUUUAAAGGGUGCGUAGGCGGGUAGGUAAGUCAGUGGUGAAGUCCUGGAGCUCAACUCCAGAACUGCCAUUGAUACUAUUUAUCUUGAAUAUUGUGGAGGUAAGCGGAAUAUGUCAUGUAGCGGUGAAAUGCUUAGAUAUGACAUAGAACACCUAUUGCGAAGGCAGCUUACUACGCAUAUAUUGACGCUGAGGCACGAAAGCGUGGGGAUCAAACAGGAUUAGAUACCCUGGUAGUCCACGCCCUAAACUAUGAUUACUCGACAUUUGUGAUACACAAUAAGUGUGUGAGAGAAGACGAUAAGUAAUACUAACCGUACGGUAAGUUAACGUUACGUCGAAGGAGUAGAACGACGAAGGAAGUUAGACGGACGUUGAGACGNGCGACGGACGACGACGAGGGAGGAGG
Molecule: ribosomal RNA, 630 nt
Filed under: uncultured bacterium
Lineage: Bacteria
Description: bacterial SSU rRNA
Rfam family: Bacterial small subunit ribosomal RNA (bases 1-537)
Source: RNAcentral